GCUGGGUGCAGUGGUGCAUACCUGUAAUCCCAGUGGCUUGGGAGGCUGGGGCAGGAGGAUGGCUAGUUCUAGGUCAGCCUCAGCACCUAAGCAAGACCCUGUCUCUA
This 107-nucleotide small RNA is filed under the name Marmota monax (woodchuck). The record is from RNAcentral. Lineage: Eukaryota; Metazoa; Chordata; Mammalia; Rodentia; Sciuridae.